This 407-nucleotide ribosomal RNA is filed under the name uncultured bacterium. Its description in RNAcentral is "partial 16S ribosomal RNA". It matches the Rfam family "Bacterial small subunit ribosomal RNA", at positions 30 to 526 of the family's 1533-position model. The record is from RNAcentral.
AUUGAACGCUGGCGGCAGGCCUAACACAUGCAAGUCGAGCGGAGCGGCGGACGGGUGAGUAAUGCCUAGGAAUCUGCCUGGUAGUGGGGGAUAACGUCCGGCAACGGGCGCUAAUACCGCAUACUAUCAGAUGAGCCUAGGUGGGAUUAGCUAGUUGGUGGGGUAAAGGCCUACCAAGGCGACGAUCCGGAACGGGUCUGAGAGGAUGAUCAGUAACACUGGAACUGAGAAACGGUCCAGACUCCUACGGGAGGCAGCAGUGGGUAAUAUUGGACAAUGGGCGCAAGCCUGAUGCAGCCAUGCCGCGUGUAUGAAGAAGGCCUUCGGGUUGUAAAGUACGUUCAGCGGGGAGGCGUUACCCGCAGAAGAAGCACCGGCUAACUCCGUGCCAGCAGCCGCGGUAAUUC